CCUCCAGAAUCUACCAAAAAAGGACAAACUCAACUCUAAAUGAUGUAAUAUAAUUUACAUCACAGAAUGGAGGAAGUAAAGAUUAGAGCCUAUAAGUUCUGUCCCUUUGGAGAACCCUGACUAAUAAGGAUUUUAGUACCAGAAGAGGUUCUAGCACAACAGUAGGUCUGCAAGUGGUGUCCUUGCCCUGUCCAGCUUAGCGCUCAGUCCUAUCUCCAGCUCUUUUACAAGACUCCCCGAGCUCGGCCUGAUGUUUCACUGUGGGUGUCUGCAUCUGUUUCCAUUCAGUGCUGGAUGAAGCCUCUCAGGGGACAGCUAUGCCAGGCUCCUGUCUCCAGGCGUAGCAGAGUAUCACUAAGACUGUCAGGGGUUGACUCUCUCAAAUGGAAUGGAUCUCAAGUUGGGCAGUCAUUGGUCGGCCAUUCCCUCAAACUCUGCUCCAUCUUUGUCCCUGAACAUCAUGAAGGCAGGACAAAUUUUGGAUUGAAGGUUUUGCAGCUGGAUUAAUGUCUGCCUCCCUCCACUGGAAGUCCUGCCUGGCUAUAGGAGAUGGCCACUUCAAUCUCCAUAUUACUGCUAGUAGGCGUCUAGGUGGGUGGACAAUGGAGCUGGUGGUCCAGGGACGGCAGCACGCAGAUCAGGGAAGUAUUUUGUUAACAAUGUGUUUGUACAGAUUUUCAUGUUUUAUUUCAGAACUAUUAAGAGAAUAUCAGGGGUUGUCAUAUUUAAAUUUUGAGAUAUCAAAGAAUGUCUCUUGUCCUUGAAACAAUAGAUUAUUUUAUGUGUAUGAAUGUUUUGCUUGCAUGUAUGUCUGUGCAGUACAUGCACGCAGUGCCCACAUAGUGGGUUGGAUCCCUGGAUCUAGACUUAUGCAUUCCUGUGGGUGCUGGGAAUUUAACCGGGAGUCAUCUCUCCUGUCUCUCCCUCUUCUGGUGUCAUCCUGCCUUCCCUCCAUCAUCCAUUGGUGACUGCAUGCUAACACUGUGCCUGCCAAGGCGCUGACCCGUCUGAGCAUGCAGUAGUGUGGAUGCAUAGUUCCUGGCCUCGGUGGCUUACAGAUACCCCUGAGUUAAUAUCUUUGUAUUGCAAUGUUCCUGUGACAGAUACCUAGUUGGGGAAAGGACUCGAGACCUGUGAAGAAAGACUACUCAUGGAUAGCAGAAUGAAAUCCCAGACAUUAUGAUGCAGUAUAGCUAAGAGUCCACCCCCAACCUUGAAGAAAAGACUGCUUGGUUGUGAGGAGUAUGAAUAGCUGUCCGUCCCAACUGUUAACUGCUUCAGACUCCCUUGUCUUUGAGCUGAGAUGCUGGUCUCUUUGGGGUGCACAUCCCCCAGCCUAUGAUCAAGCAAAACUUGGCAUAGCAUUUCUGCCGGACACAGGAUAACUUCCCUUCCUUGAUUCUGCUGUCUCCUAGCUCCCUUUGUCCUUCAGGAGUUCCUGGCCAAUAAUCUCUUUGUCCCCUAAGGUUUGUUUCUGCCUGUUUUCUGGAGACCGCUCUAGGUUUUGGGAGUUAAUCAGGUGGAUUCCAGUGGCUCCAAGCAUCCUCUGACACUGACAGAAACAGGUGCUUUAGAACUGAUGUUGAGCUGGGGUCAGCAGUCCUAUCUGUCACUCUGCUGGAGGGACUACAGAAUAUUUCCUCUCUGGGAAAUGAAUCAAAUAAGCCCAUGUUCAUUGAUGUUCUUCUUGGCCCCAAACACAUCCUGGCACCAUGUAAGUGACUCGAAUGUUUCCGCAGGCUUUCUGAAUGGGUUAUUUAUUCAAUUGAGGGUAAGACUCAGGUAAAGGUCAUUAAAUCAUUUUCCUAUUAGUCAGUUUCAGAAAUGCUAGCUAGUUAUAAAUGGGCCAUUAGCUGGUUACACGUACACUCCUUAAACCCCUUACCCACAUGAUUUUUCUACUCAUUUCUUAACAGCCUCAAUGCUUCAGUCACACGAACAGCCCACAAGUACUGAGGAGUGUUAAGCGGAAGGGACUGGCUGUUGUCUUCUGCUGGGAGAGCAUCUUCUCAUUCAUUACUAGAAAAGCAGUAAUCUAUAGCCAGAUGUGGUGCUACAACCUGUAAUCAUAGCGUUCAGGAGGCUGGAGCUGGGGGGAUUGCCACAGAUCCAAGACCAUUCAGAAACUCAGAAAGCUCAAGGCCAGCCUCUAUGUGAGUUGCUGAAAAGACAGAUCUGUGGAGAAGUACUGGCUGUUAAUGAUGUGCGGGCUCCCAGCAAGGUCAGAGCAGAUGCUCAGAACUCACAUUAAAAAAGCUGGUCAUGGAUUCCUUUAACUAGGUGGAGACUGGAGGAUUGCUGGGUCUUACUGACCAGCCAGCCUAUCUGAAACACACUGAGUCCCAGAUUCAGAUGGGGACCCUGUGUGAAGAGGAUAAUGUAAAAGGAGACAGAGGGAGACAACUGUCACCCUGUUCUGACUCCUGUAUAUACAAGCAAAGGCACAGGCAUGAGCACAUGUGUGCACACAUGCUUUACUCAACCAAAAAAGGUAGAGGAGGGGAGAGGAGCAGGAGAAAGAGGAAGAGGAGAAAAGAAAAAUGAUAAUCCCCUAGUCAAGCAUUUACCAAAUACUUGUAGACCAAGAGGGGCCACUAGUCAUGUCUCAUUCAAUCUCAAGCUACACCCACUCCUCCAUAUUUUAAAGAAACCCACGUGCAGUUUCAGUCCGAUGUGUCUGGAGCUCUACAGUGCUGUUUAUUCCUCUUUCUCCUAUUUAACCAUCCUCCCUUCAGGUAAAAACAUCCCGACCUGUGUAGUGGAGUUAAGAAGAACAAAGGCUCCUGAGUCAGAUGGACAGGCUUGGGUUUAAGUCUAAGUUCUCUCGCUGACUUGCUGUAUGGCCUUGUAUAGUUACUUAAUUGUAGGGAGCGGUACAUAUAGAUAAAAGAUGGCGCUGACAUCUGGUGGUCGUUUGUGGUUAACACCCACAAAGCACAUGUCCUGGCAUUUUUCUGGCAAGCUAUCAGGCUGGUGGGUUAUUCAUGCUAAUGAGGUAUUUCAUGAUCCACCAAUCCCUAGAGAACAAGUAUAUAGCCAUAGCCUGUUUUUGUAUUUAAGGCUGGUGCCUUUGUUGCUCGGGGUCCCCGUAUCAAGAAUGAGGUGUUCCUGCAAUAAAGGGUGUUGAGAAGAAUCCAACGGUGUUGCGUCUUCCAUGCUGGACGAGGUGGUGUUGCAACUGGUGGCCUUUACUGGGAUCCGAGGACAUCCUUCUGGAUUCACAACUCUUCAACCUCAGGACGGCGACGUCGAAUCAAGACAAUCCAAUUGGGUGCCUGAGCGUUUCACAUGCAAACUGCCUCCUGCUACUCCUGACAAUGGAACUAUGCACUCUAUUAUUGCUGCUAAUGGUAAUCCAGGUUGAUUCACUCACUCUGUGGCCUAUUGCCAGACCCUGGCCAUUACUUAUGCCAGUUCAUAGCAAUUCUACUGUUUUGCCAACCUUCUUCUCCACCUCCUGUUUGCGUGAUGUUCCCUGUAUAGUGCCUAAUGGAGAAUUGUCCCAACGGUAUACUGCCACUAAUCUUUCUUUGUUGCAUACAUUAUGUUUCACUCUUAAAAAUUCCUCCCUGCCUUGUAUAUGGCUGCGAAGGACAACAUUGGCUAAUUUUUUGGAUCCUAUGAGCAAUAGUGCUAUGGGCACUGACCAUCCUGGCUGCUUUGAGUCAAGUUACCCAAGGAGCCUCUUCAGGCAGUGGAGACACAUCAAUCAAUAAUUCUGCUGAGUUGAACAUUACAACUUUGAUUAUGAUGCAUAAUUGUAGUUUUCCAUCACGCCUGGGGCAAGGCAAUCACACACUAGAUAACUCUACCUGUCGUAGAGUCCUACGUACUUGCCCCCAUAUCAAGCGUUUCCACCUAAUUUUACCCCAUGUCAGAGUCCAUUCCAUAGAGCAAAACAAUUCCUACGGGGAUUUGAAUUUUCCCCUCCUCUUGGCAAUGUACAGUAUGAUCAGGGGAAAAAUAAGUCUGACAAGCCUUAUUUUGGCCUUGGUAUCAAUGGGUAUUAUCAAAUGAGCAGGGAGCAUACACAACUCUAAUUCCUUUUGCCCAAUUAUUAGGUGAAGACUUUACACUGUAUAAUAUUUCAGCCACUAGAACAAAUAACAAAACCAGUUUAGUAAAUGUAAAGAUUAAUGGCCUUUUAGCAAAUGAUACUGCCGUUGGAGCUUCAGUAUGUGUUAGACCACCUUUCUUCUUUCUGAUAAGCACUAAUGUAAGCGAUGAUGCUUUAAAUUUUAACAACUCUGAUGUAGUCUGCUAUUUAGCUGAAUACUGGGAUGGCACCAAUGAUACUGCAGUGAUGGUCAAGAUUCCCUCCUUUGUGCCAAUCCCAGUAGAGGCCAACCCAGAUAGUUUUCCCAUACUUCAUUUACUAAGAACCAAAGGGGAUUUUGGUAUUAUGGCAGCUCUAACUUCAAACAUUUUACUAUCAGCCGUUGCAGCAACACCAGCCGAGAUUGCUAUGACUAAUCAAGUACAGACGGCUGAGACUAUCAACCAGAAUGUGGAAAGAACCGCAGUGGCAUUAGAGAUAAAAGAAGAAUUUAAUGCCCACUUGACUGGCUUUCUAUUAACUAAUCAACGAAUGGAUUUAAUUCAAGAACAAAUUGAAGCACUAUAUCAUAUGUCACAGCUGUCCUGCAUUUCCUCCCUUAGAGGUUUAUGCAUUACUCCUUUGCAAGCUAAUUUUUCUCAGUAUUCUCAAGAGAGCAAAGAAAUCUCGAAUUAUCUGAAAGUAAACUGCUCCAUGAAAGUGGAGUAACUAUCAAGAUUAUUGCUGAUGCAGAUUGCUGUCCUUAACAACACUAGAUUGGAACGUAUCACGUUUGGAGAUUUCACCUCAUGGAUUAUCAAUGCUUCCUCCUUUUUGAAAGAAUGGGCUGGCAUGUUUGCCUGGGGGGCCAUUGUCCUUUUGGGAUGUGGAGUAUGUCUAUGGCUCUUCUGCAAUUUACAACGAGAACAUGCCAGACACAAAGCGAUUGUUUACCAGGCUAUGGUUGCCAUUGAAAGUCGUGCUUCUCCCAACAUAUGGCUGGCCUCUUUGAAAAAUUAAGAGUUCGCCCUAGAUCGUAUUUUGUCACUGUCAUGUGAACGCAUUGUCUCGAGAGACGGGCAACUUUCCUCAGGCUAGGACCAACCUAAGACAGGGGCCCGGUGUCGAUAGGGUAACCCAGUAAUGGGAAUGGCCGAGCUGCCAGGAGGAACGACCUAUGACAGGAGCAAUGACAAUAUUGACGUGACACCCUGAUCUAGACCAGUCAUAGACAGAGGUGCUACACCCCAUUUGAACAUACGGACUGGUCAAAUGCUCCUCUGCCCAGUUUCUCCCCAAUAAAAACACACGUAUAGCCCAGAAUGGUGUGUUACAGCAUAAGUUCAUUUAUUGCCAUUGGGGUGCAGUACUAAUUGCAAGAGUAGCCCGCCAUAACCGAGUUGGGCACUCUGUGAGACAUGUCUGAUCUCUCUCAGACCACUACCUCCAUCUAUUGGCUUCUUUUUUUUUCAUAAUACAAAAAAGGAGGAGUUGUAGGGAGCGGCACAUAUAGAUAAAAGAUGGCGCUGACAUCUGGUGGUCAUUUGUGGUUAACACCCACAAAGCACAUGUCCUGGCAUUUCUCUGGCAAGCUAUCAGGCUGGAGUGAUAUUCAUGCUAAUGAGGUAUUUCAUGUUCCACCACUCCCUAGAGGACAAGUAUAUAGCCAUAGCCUGUUUUGUAUAUAAGGCUGGUGCCUUUGUUGCUCGGGGUCCCCGUAUCAAGAAUGAGGUGUUACUUCAAUAAAGGCUGUUGAGAAGAAUGCAACGGUGUUGCAUCUUCCUUGCAGGACGAGGUGGGCAUUGCACUUGAUCUUUCUGAGUCUUAGCUAACAGUAUGGAAAGUUGAAAAUAAAUAGUACAAACUAUAGAGAGUUGAUACAAAGUGGAAAUAAAACCUAUCGAGGACUUGCCUCCUUCUUGAUUUCUUUAUUUCCCCACAUCAAACACUAUUAUAUGUUUCUAGUUCCAGGGUAAAUAAAAUUUAUAAGGAUACAAAAUAUGUUCCCGUUAUAACUGUGUUUCUUUGUAAGCAGACUCUUGACAUCAUUUCCACUUGGACUUCCAUGAGCAAAUAUGACUUUGAACAUGAGAUUAUGUCCAGUCAGUUAAAGUCCAACGUUCUCUGUGGUAAACAGCUGAAGCAGUUUACCUUACUAAGUUAGCAGUUUGCAUU
This is a non-coding RNA of Rattus norvegicus (Norway rat), 6211 nucleotides long. The record is from RefSeq and is a predicted model, not a curated record. NCBI's taxonomy places the organism in Eukaryota, Metazoa, Chordata, Mammalia, Rodentia, Muridae.